Stegostoma tigrinum is the source of this 3975-nucleotide long non-coding RNA. RefSeq lists it as uncharacterized. The transcript is spliced from 5 exons. Lineage: Eukaryota; Metazoa; Chordata; Chondrichthyes; Orectolobiformes; Stegostomatidae. The record is from RefSeq and is a predicted model, not a curated record.
GCAGGUGGAUUUGUUUUCAAUUACGAGCCUGACCAGUAGCCCCUGGCUCUUGGCUCACGGCUGUUUGUCGGUUCAGAUGAAGAGACAGGGCUCUAUCUUGGCCAGUGCGACGGAGCUGUGACCGGGGCCGCUAACGUUAGGUGUCAGCCGCGAGUGAAAACGCCAGCUCUAACCAGUCUCCUGGCCAGUCCCUUUGACCAGCAAGGAACGCAACACCAACAACUGACGCUGAGAGCUACAAACGAGAGAUGACUGCGACAUCCCCCGGAAGCUUCCGACAAACUGGGUCCUCGACCAUUUGAUCUGCUUGUUCCCGAAUGCCAGUAAAAACCCGCUCACAGCUUCGGGCCGAUUCGUCCCAGUCGCCCCCAGGUCGGCCUGGGCUCAGCACCGACAAGUUUCAACUGCGCCUCGGAACUGAAUUUCAAAUACUCUACCCGUGAGGAUGAGGGUGUCACUGGCUAUACUGGCAUUUAUUGUCCAUCACUAAUUGCCCCAGAAGGCGGUUAAGAGUCAACCAUAUUGCUGGGGUUUUGGAGUCACAUGUAGUCCAGACCAGGUUAAAAAUUUGAUGUGCAAUGAGAUAUAGCAAGUAUGUGAUGCUUUGGAAAAUAAGCUGUCCUCCCUCCAUCCACCUUGCAUCUGAGAGAGCUCCUACUUUGAUGGUGAUGAAGACAGGAAUCAUGAGGAUGAAGUCCUAUUUUAUAAGGGUGCAACUUGUGGCUGUGUACAGACCUGGACAUGGGAGAAAUCUUCGUUCCGAUCCUCGAUGAAUAACUAAUUAUAAAGACAAAUGCAUAUCUCUAGUGCAUAGUACUGCAAACAGCUUCAAAUUCACAAACCCUGGGAUCUGUGAACACUGGCACUUAAUCAGUUCAUUAGGAACAGGGAUGACUGUCACAGACAUACACCUGAUGGUUACAAUCACAGAGAUUUGGAAACUGAUGAUUAUUGGUCUGUUUUGCUAAUUACUUGAUGGAAUGGAGCAGUUCCAGAUGUGGAGUCCUGACAUCUGUGGACAAUUAAUCAGAAUAUAUACCAGUAAUCAGGUAAAUGGAUUCAAGUGUAGUCUGGCCAGCUUCCACUGAGGUCACCUAAGGACCAAAAUCCUUGUCUGAUUCAGUAAUUCAAAAGACCAGUCAUUGUCUCAAAGGCAGAAGCUUAGGGGGCCUCCCCAUGAUUUGAUGUAGAAAUGGAACACAUUAUUGCAGAACUAACAUUAUUCAAGUGGGCUAAACAUUCACUGUUUCCAACUCUGUGCCAGGUCAGUUAAUCUCAGCUGGAGUUGCUAAAUGUGUCAUUAGUGACAUUGGACUGAGGAAAGGGGAUCAAUGCAAGGGAUGGAAAUUAUAUGAAACCUGGGAAGAGCUUUGGUUAAAUACUGUCUAAAUUCAACUCUAGACAGUCCUAGAGUGCAGGUUGGAAGAGGUACAGUGUGGAUCCAUGCAAAUACAUUAGUUUUUGUAGCUCAGACGCAAUUGACCAAAGUGAUGCCUGGAAUGAGUGUGUUGUCUUCUGAAAAUAGGUUGGAUAGACUGGCUUGCUUCUGCAGGAGUUUAGAAGGGUGAGGAUGAUCCCAAAUAGUCUUAACAAGGUGGAUGUGGACAGUAUGUUUUCUAUUGUCAUUGAAUCCAGCACUCUUUAGCACAGAGCUGAAAAAAAUUCUUUUCUCUCGGAGGAUUAUGCAACUUUAAAACUCUGUCUCAGAAGAUGGUGGAUGCAGGGUCAUUGAGAUUUUUUGAGACAAUGGUUGAUAGAUUCUUGUUAGGCAAGAAACUUGAAGGUUACUGGCGGUAAAUGGGAAUGUGGAAAAGGUGCAAAUGUUUGACUGUCAGAUAAAGGUAGGAUUAUGUUUGGGUUGUGACUAGAACCUGAAAGCCCAGGAGCAAAAGACCUUUCAGAUGUCCACUGUCCAGACUCUUAGUCAUGAAAGACCAUUUAGAUGGGAUUGUCAGGAAUGGCCAGUGUCAGGACAUCAGGGAGAAAAGCUAACCAUUUAUAGAGACUUGGGAGUUCUAGUCCAGGAUUCUCUCAAGGUAAACUUGCAGGUUGAGUCAGUAGUCAGGAAGGCAAAUGCAAUGUUGGCUUUUAUUUUAAGAGGAUUUGAAUAUAAAAGCAGGGAUGUACUACUGAGGUUUUAUAAGGCUCUGGUCAGGCCAUAUUUGGAGUAAUGCAUGCAGUUUUGGACCCCAUAUCUCAAGAAGGUUGUACUGGCCCUGGAGUGGGAUCAGAGGAGGUUCAUAAGAAUGGUCCCAGGAAUGGAAAGCUGAACAUAUGAUGGACAUUUGAGGACUCAACUCAUUGGAGUUUAGAUAGAUGAGGGAGGAUCCAAUUGAAACUUUCCGAAUAUGAAUGGCAUGGACAAAGUGGAUGUUGGGAUGAUGCUUCCAUUGGUAGGAGCAUCUAGGACCUGAGGGCUCAGCCUUAGGGUAAAGGAAGAUAAGGAGAAACUAUUUCAGUUGGAGAGUGGAGAAUCUAUGGAAUUCACUGCCCCAGAAGGCUGUGGAGGCCAGGUCAUUGAAUACAUUUAAGACUGAGAGAUAGGUUCUUGAUUAUGAACGGGAUCAAGGGUUACGGGGAGAAAGCAGGAGAAUGGGGUUGAGGAACUUAUCAGCCAUGAUUGAAUGGCAGAGCAGAUGGGCUGAAUGGCCUAAUUUCUGCUCCUAUGUCUUAGGUCUUGAUAAAAGGGUUUACUUGUAGAUAUCAAAUUAGAAUAAGCAGGCUUUUUCUUUUUAAUUGUAUCUGUCCUCCUUUCUUAGCCAAAACCGUCACAGUCCAGGAAAGCUUGCAGAAACAGUCAUAAGCCUCUGCUGCUCUGCCUCAACUCCAUCAUCUUCUUGUUUCUCUGUCUUUUAUCCCUACCUUGGCACCUUCUGUUUCUGACACAGUUUUCACCACAGGGUGGUGGAGAUGUAAACCAGUAUCCCAUCUUUUCUCAACCAACAGUUCAGCAUCAGCCAGAGUGUUGUGCCCAAGUCUGGGCAUCACCCCUCGAGAAGAAUGUUAGGGCCUUGGAGCAGGUUGAAAGGAAAUUUGCCAGAAUGGUAUAUAAAGUUGAAGGCCUUCAUUUAUGUGAAGAAGCUAGCAAGCUGGAAUUGUUGCCCUUACUCACACACAAAUUAGAAAAAUGUAAAGCUGGGGGAGUUUAAUAGAUGGCUGCAGGGUUGGUGACCAGCAAACACAAAUUUAAGACAAUUAAUAAAAGAACCAGAGGGAAAAUGAAAAAUGGUUUUAUGCAGCCAGUUGUUGCAAUUGGGAAAGCACUAUUUGAAAGGGCAGUGGGGGCAGAUUCAACAGUAAAUUUCAAAAGGGAAUUGGAUUAAUAAGUAAAUAGAAGAAAAAGAAUUCUGUUCAGGGCACAGGAGCAAAAAAAACAUCGGGGUGUAGAAGUAAUUGUAUAGCACCUUCAUACAGCUGGCACAGGCAUGAUGGGCUGAAUGCACUUCAUCUGAGGAGUAUGGUCUUAUGAUUCUGACUAAACUGUACUCACCCAUACUGUUGUUUCACCAAACUGCUGCACAAAUUCCAUUCAGCAUCAGUUUAAGAAUUAAUGUGUGUAUGUAACUGGAAGCUGAUUCACUCACAUAAGAAUUAUUUUCAUGAUUUUAGACUGAGUGGAUUUAACAGUGCUGAAUUUCAUUUAAUUCUUCAGUGCAACCUUACUGUUGUUGCAUAACUGACUGAACCAACAGUUCAGAUGUAAUUCAUAUCAGAAUGUAUAUUUUUACAAUACAUGAACUUGUUUUUCCCUUUUCUCACAUUGUGACUGAUUCAUUCCUAGUUUUUAUUUUAGAUCUUCAGAAUCUAUGAGUUCUCCGUUGUAAACAGUAUGAUACUGUACGAUUUGUAAUGCACACCAUUGUGAUUCUAUUCCUUUAGGACUGAUAUUCUUUGUAAUGCAUGUAGCAUAGUAUUUUUAAAAGGUUUCGAGAAGAUUUAUAGCUUGGGUCAUGGAUGAGAUUAUAGACAUGCUCG